Molecule: non-coding RNA, 112 nt
Organism: Acanthosepion pharaonis
Lineage: Eukaryota; Metazoa; Mollusca; Cephalopoda; Sepiida; Sepiidae
Source: the annotation of a GenBank genome assembly
UACAGCCAUAUCACAUUGAAACACCAGUUCUCAUAUGAUCACCAAAGUUAAGCAUCAUCAAUAUGUUCAGUACCUUGAUGAGUGACCACUUGGGAAUAUCAGGUGCUGCAAG